AAGGCUGGUACAGGUACAUGAACAAAUUGUUACCAUGGGAAUCUCCAUGGUCUCAUAUUUGAUAUCCGAAAUUGUUAUCGUGGGAAUCUCCACGCCGGGAAUUACCCGUUGAAUAUUGUUCUUUACCUGUACAUAUUGAUUGUAUUGUUUAUUCUGAUCAUACUGACAUGCCUUAUAUUUUGGCCUAUUAUCCCUUUUCGAACGAUCAUUCUCUAGAUGGUCCAAUUCCAACUCCAAUUCCUUGAACGCUUAUAUUGUGAUUAUUAUUUGAUUCGACUGUUUUUCCCCGUACUCCUC
Molecule: long non-coding RNA, 297 nt
Filed under: Erythranthe guttata (spotted monkey flower)
Lineage: Eukaryota; Viridiplantae; Streptophyta; Magnoliopsida; Lamiales; Phrymaceae
Description: long non-coding RNA (EGUT_LNC002346)
Source: RNAcentral